Molecule: ribosomal RNA, 469 nt
Filed under: uncultured bacterium
Lineage: Bacteria
Description: bacterial SSU rRNA
Rfam family: Bacterial small subunit ribosomal RNA
Source: RNAcentral
GACGAACGCUGGCGGCGCGCUUAACACAUGCAAGUCGUGCGGUACCGAUGGCAAGUCUUCUUGACGAGCCUUCGGUAUAGCGGCGGACGGGUGAGUAACACGUGAGUAGCUGUCCUAGGGAGGGGGAGUAACGCCUGGAAACGGGUGGCUAAAACCCCAACUAAGCCUCGAAAGAGGUAAAAGUAGCAUCACUGCAGUCCUAGGGUGUGCUCGCGGCCUAUCAGCUAGUUGGUGAGGUAAGGGCUCACCAAGGCCAAGACGGGUAGCCGGCCUGAGAGGGUGUACGGCCACACUGGAAUUGAGAUACGGUCCAGACUCCUACGGGAGGCAGCAGUGGGGAAUUUUGGGCAAUGGGCGAAAGCCUGAUCCAGCAAUGCCGCGUGAGUGAUGAAGGCCUUAGGGUUGUAAAGCUCUUUUACCAGGGAUGAUAAUGACAGUACCUGGAGAAUAAGCUCCGGCUAACUCCGUG